Molecule: ribosomal RNA, 497 nt
Filed under: uncultured bacterium
Lineage: Bacteria
Description: partial 16S ribosomal RNA
Rfam family: Bacterial small subunit ribosomal RNA
Source: RNAcentral
GAUGAACGCUGGCGGCGUGCCUAAUACAUGCAAGUCGAGCGAACGGACGAGAAGCUUGCUUCUCUGAUGUUAGCGGCGGACGGGUGAGUAACACGUGGAUAACCUACCUAUAAGACUGGGAUAACUUCGGGAAACCGGAGCUAAUACCGGAUGAUAUUUUGAACCGCAUGGUUCAAAAGUGAAAGACGGUCUUGCUGUCACUUAUAGAUGUAUCCCGGUUGCAUUAGCUAGUUGGUAAGGUAACGGCUUACCAAGGCAACGAUGCAUAGCCGACCUGAGAGGGGGAUCGGCCACACUGGAACUGAGACACGGUCCAGACUCCUACGGGAGGCAGCAGUAGGGAAUCUUCCGCAGUGGGCGAAGGCCUGACGGAGCAACGCCGCGUGAGUGAUGAAGGUCUUCGGAUCGUAAAACUCUGUUAUUAGGGAAGAACAUAUGUGUAAGUAACUGUGCACAUCUUGACGGUACCUAAUCAGAAAGCCACGGCUAACUACGUG